RNAcentral lists this ribosomal RNA (526 nucleotides) under Phomopsis sp. 88AC/T. Its description in RNAcentral is "eukaryotic LSU rRNA". The stretch from base 204 to 357 matches the Rfam family "5.8S ribosomal RNA". Lineage: Eukaryota; Fungi; Ascomycota; Sordariomycetes; Diaporthales; Diaporthaceae. The record is from RNAcentral.
CGUAGGUGAACCUGCGGAGGGAUCAUUGCUGGAACGCGCCCCAGGCGCACCCAGAAACCCUUUGUGAACUUAUACCUUACUGUUGCCUCGGCGCAUGCUGGCCUCUAGUAGGCCCCUCAUCCCGGUGAGGAGACGGCACGCCGGCGGCCAAGUUAACUCUUGUUUUUACACUGAAACUCUGAGAAAAAACACAAAUGAAUCAAAACUUUCAACAACGGAUCUCUUGGUUCUGGCAUCGAUGAAGAACGCAGCGAAAUGCGAUAAGUAAUGUGAAUUGCAGAAUUCAGUGAAUCAUCGAAUCUUUGAACGCACAUUGCGCCCUCUGGUAUUCCGGAGGGCAUGCCUGUUCGAGCGUCAUUUCAACCCUCAAGCAUUGCUUGGUGUUGGGGCACUGCUUUUUACCGAAGCAGGCCCUGAAAUCUAGUGGCGAGCUCGCCAGGACCCCGAGCGCAGUAGUUAAACCCUCGCUCUGGAAGGCCCUGGCGGUGCCCUGCCGUUAAACCCCCAACUUUUGAAAAUUGACCUC